RNAcentral lists this ribosomal RNA (331 nucleotides) under uncultured bacterium. RNAcentral describes it as "partial 16S ribosomal RNA". It matches the Rfam family "Bacterial small subunit ribosomal RNA", at positions 338 to 686 of the family's 1533-position model. The record is from RNAcentral.
CCUACGGGUGGCAGCAGUGGGGAAUAUUGCACAAUGGGGGAAACCCUGAUGCAGCGACGCCGCGUGAAGGAAGAAGUAUUUCGGUAUGUAAACUUCUAUCAGCAGGGAAGAAAAUGACGGUACCUGACUAAGAAGCCCCGGCUAACGACGUGCCAGCAGCCGCGGUAAUACGCAGGGGGCAAGCGUGAUCCGGAUUUACUGGGUUUAAAGGGAGCGUAGGCGGUGCAGCAAGUCAGAAGUGAAAGCCCGGGGCUCAACUCCGGGACUGCUUUUGAAACUGUUGAACUAGAUUGCAGGAGAGGUCCGUUGCCUUCCUUGUGUCGCGGUUACC